ACCCCUCUACCAGCCUGGGAGGGCGUGGGGGAGGGAGGGCUGAGCUCCCGGGGGCUGGAGGCGGGCGCUGCGCCUUGGGGUGGGGACUCAGUGAGGGGAACCCGACGGCGGGAUACGACCAGAACGGCCCAGACACCGGCAGCGCGCCGAGAGGGUGAGUCCCCAGCAGAGUCCCGCCUCUUCUCUAAGCUCCCAGCAGCCAGACUGGGAACCCCAGCUGACUGGGCACCACACCACGCUGCCUGCCUCCAAGGAAACCUGACCUGAGGGGCAGACCGGGAAGGAAGCAGGCCAGGGAUUUGCUGCCGGCCCUCCUGUGCCCGCUGCCCAUCAGAGUCCAUCUCAGCUCUCAAAGGCAACCUCCUCCUAAAGCUCCCCUUCGUCCUAAUGUGACCGUGGGCGAGGUAAUGAACCUCAGUUUGUUUCAGCCUUAAAAUGGGAUAAUAGAAACCACUUCAGGCAAUUGUUGUGAGGAUGGAGUAAAGGAUGCAAAAUGCUGAUUAGCCCCUGGCACAGAGUAAACAGAAGUUUGCUCUGGUUGUUCUUUCCCCUGUGGCGUUGUGUGUACCUGCUGGGAGCUCUAGCCCCAUUCUCCCCGGCUUUGUCUCUGUCUUACCCCCUAGACUUUGAGCUCCUUGUGGGCAGGGCCCAUCCCUUUUCUACUUCAGGCGUCUCCUCCCGCCCCCAAGAUCCUGUGGUCUUUCAAGGGCUUGCCCAGAGGAGGGCUGGAGAGAGGCACUUAGAAUGGUCCAAUG
Molecule: long non-coding RNA, 755 nt
Organism: Myotis davidii
Lineage: Eukaryota; Metazoa; Chordata; Mammalia; Chiroptera; Vespertilionidae
Exons: 3
Source: RefSeq, a predicted model, not a curated record